CCUACGGGUGGCAGCAGUGGGGAAUAUUGGACAAUGGGGGGAACCCUGAUCCAGCGACGCCGCGUGAGUGAAGAAGUAUUUCGGUAUGUAAAGCUCUAUCAGCAGGGAAGAAAGAAAUGACGGUACCUGACUAAGAAGCCCCGGCUAACUACGUGCCAGCAGCCGCGGUAAUACGUAGGGGGCAAGCGUUAUCCGGAUUUACUGGGUGUAUAGGGAGCGUAGACGGCGAUGCAAGUCUGAAGUGAAAGGCGGUGGCCCAACCCCCGGACUGCUUUGGAAACUGUAUGGCUGGAGUGCAGGAGAGGUAAGUGGAAUUCCUAGUGUAGCGGUGAAAUGCGUAGAGAUUAGGAGGAACACCAGUGGCGAAGGCGGCUUACUGGACUGUAACUGACGUUGAGGCUCGAAAGCGUGGGGAGCAAACAGGAUUAGAUACCCUAGUAGUC
Molecule: ribosomal RNA, 443 nt
Filed under: uncultured bacterium
Lineage: Bacteria
Description: partial 16S ribosomal RNA
Rfam family: Bacterial small subunit ribosomal RNA
Source: RNAcentral